CGGGCAUGUUUGGGCGUCGCACCUCACCGGAUGCGAUUCAGGCGCCGCUGCCACCUUGGAGGCGGGUAAAGAUGGUGGUGGGGAUAAGUGUGAAUUGAAUUCCGCCAUCGCCGUUGCUACUCGUGCUCCUAAAGAAGGAGGAUUUUUAGUGUUGAUGAUGUGGCAGGAGGAGUUUGUGGCUAGACUAUGACUGAGCUAUUGCUGAGCUAUUUCUAUUGUGGAUGGCCUGAGGAGAGUGGUCACUUUCUUUUGCCCUCGAGAAUUAAAUGAAAACAGCAUUCAUGAAGGUGUGCUAGAAUGGAUCGUGACUAAAAUGUUAUAAGCUCGAAUGAUAGGCGGAGUGGCUUGGCGAUUGCAGUUUGUAUGCGAGCGUGUUUUAUUUGGAAAGAUGAAGAAAAAAUAAUAGAGCGAAGUUCUGGAACAUUAGAGAGAGUGCUGCAGCUAAACUAUUAUUGUGUUCCACCCUUCAUUUUUGUAUGAUUAAAAUGAAUUAUCAUCUCUCACUUGCACUAGAGUUCAAACAUCAUUUAAUGUUGGGAAAAUUCUAUCA
Molecule: long non-coding RNA, 550 nt
Organism: Salvia splendens (bonfire salvia)
Lineage: Eukaryota; Viridiplantae; Streptophyta; Magnoliopsida; Lamiales; Lamiaceae
Exons: 2
Source: RefSeq, a predicted model, not a curated record